This 331-nucleotide ribosomal RNA is filed under the name uncultured eukaryote. RNAcentral describes it as "partial 18S ribosomal RNA". It matches the Rfam family "Eukaryotic small subunit ribosomal RNA", at positions 1470 to 1796 of the family's 1831-position model. The record is from RNAcentral.
CCCUUAGAUGUUCUGGGCCGCACGCGCGCUACACUGUUCGACGCAGCGAGUCUUAACCUUGACCGAAAGGUUUGGGUAAUCUUCAGCAAAGUCGAACGUGAUGGGGAUCGAUCAUUGCAAUUAUUGAUCGUGAACGAGGAAUUCCUAGUAAGUGCAAGUCAUCAGCUUGCGCUGAUUACGUCCCUGCCCUUUGUACACACCGCCCGUCGCUACUACCGAUUGAAUGGUUUAGUGAGAUCUCUGGAUUGACGCUGGCCAGGGGGCGACCCUUGGCCAGACUGUUGAGAAACUGCUCAAACUUGAUCAUUUAGAGGAAGUAAAAGUCGUAACA